GGCAUAACUGGAAGCGACGGUUCCCCGACGAUGACUCCGAGGGGAUUAAUAGGGAACACGGUGAGGACGACCCAAAAGGGACCAAGACCGUGGCUGCCCCCGCAACUGUAAGCGGAUUGCCGUCCAUCCUCGUGGUGCCGAAAGGCGCCAUGCCACUGCGCCGAUCAGGCGCGGGAAGGCAGAUGGACGACUGAUAUCCGUGAGCCAGGAGACCUGCCGUCGAAGAUCUAUCCAU
This 235-nucleotide non-coding RNA is filed under the name Agrobacterium radiobacter. The record is from RNAcentral. Lineage: Bacteria; Pseudomonadati; Pseudomonadota; Alphaproteobacteria; Hyphomicrobiales; Rhizobiaceae.